RNAcentral lists this ribosomal RNA (413 nucleotides) under uncultured soil bacterium. RNAcentral describes it as "bacterial SSU rRNA". It matches the Rfam family "Bacterial small subunit ribosomal RNA", at positions 26 to 445 of the family's 1533-position model. The record is from RNAcentral.
AGAUUGAACGCUGGCGGCAUGCCUUACACAUGCAAGUCGAACGGUAGAGGGAGCAAUCCUUCGAGAGUGGCGAACGGGUGAGUAAUAUAUCGGAACGUGCCCAGUCGUGGGGGAUAACGUAGAGAAAUUUACGCUAAUACCGCAUACGAUCUAAGGAUGAAAGCGGGGGACCUCGCAAGGGGCCUCGCGCGAUUGGAGCGGCUGAUAUCAGAUUAGGUUGUUGGUGAGGUAAAAAGCUCACCAAGCCGACGAUCUGUAGCUGGUUUGAGAGAACGACCAGCCACACUGGGACUGAGACACGGCCCAGACUCCGACGGGAGCAGCAGUGGGAAUUUGGACAAUGGGCGAAAGCCUGAUCCAGCAAUGCCGAGUGCAGGAAGAAGGCCUUGGUGUAAACGUGUACUUUUGAACGG